UUGAAUUUCGGGGUUGGUAGGUUGGUCAUGCCUCUGGUAUGUACUGGUCUCACUGAUUCCUCCUUCCUGAUGAGCCGUAAUGCCAUUAAUUUGGUGUUGCGGGGAAUUUGGACUGUUACCUUUGAAAAAUUAGAGUGUUUAAAGCAAGCUAACGCUUGAAUACAUUAGCUUGGAAUAAUGAAAUAGGACGUUCGAUCCUAUUUUGUUGGUUUCUAGGAUUGACGUAAUGAUUAAUAGGGAUAGUUGGGGGCAUUAGUAUUCAAUUGUCAGAGGUGAAAUUCUUGGAUUUAUUGAAGACUAACUACUGCGAAAGCAUUUGCCAAGGAUGUUUUCAUUAAUCAAGAACGAAAGUUAGGGGAUCGAAGACGAUCAGAUACCGUCGUAGUCUUAACCAUAAACUAUGCCGACUAGGGAUCGGAUGAUGUUAAUUUUUAAUGACUC
Molecule: ribosomal RNA, 441 nt
Filed under: fungal sp.
Lineage: Eukaryota; Fungi
Description: SSU rRNA
Rfam family: Eukaryotic small subunit ribosomal RNA
Source: RNAcentral